This is a long non-coding RNA of Gasterosteus aculeatus aculeatus (three-spined stickleback), 398 nucleotides long. The record is from Ensembl. NCBI's taxonomy places the organism in Eukaryota, Metazoa, Chordata, Actinopteri, Perciformes, Gasterosteidae.
CUGUGUUUUGGGGAGUGUUUGAGGGCUCUCAGACAGACAUUUUUCCAAUCCUUUUGCCCAAGGGAAUUACCCCCAGUCAUUGCAAUUCAACGUUAAAACGGGAUAACCAGUGAAGGCGCGGAGACGUAAAAGAAGAGACUGACGUGGAAAAUCGUAAAGAGGAGAAGGUGGGCGUCCGAAACUGGAUUGAAGUUGAUGGAGGAAGCUGAAAGCGUGGGCACAAUGGCAGGCAUUGCACAACAGCAGAAGGAGCUGACUGCUAAAAGUCUAUGGAAGGUCUAUGGAAGGGUUUGCAGAGGUAUGGAUGAGCCGGCCGCGGUCUCAGACAAGCCCUAAGCUGAAUGUUGCUGACGGAUGGAGGAGCCAGGCACCAGUGCUGAGAGGAACGUGAUGACGAC